RNAcentral lists this ribosomal RNA (1707 nucleotides) under Staphylococcus aureus M1071. RNAcentral's name for it is "bacterial LSU rRNA". It matches the Rfam family "Bacterial large subunit ribosomal RNA", at positions 536 to 2246 of the family's 2925-position model. The record is from RNAcentral. Lineage: Bacteria; Bacillati; Bacillota; Bacilli; Caryophanales; Staphylococcaceae.
GAGUGAAAUAGAACCUGAAACCGUGUGCUUACAAGUAGUCAGAGCCCGUUAAUGGGUGAUGGCGUGCCUUUUGUAGAAUGAACCGGCGAGUUACGAUUUGAUGCAAGGUUAAGCAGUAAAUGUGGAGCCGUAGCGAAAGCGAGUCUGAAUAGGGCGUUUAGUAUUUGGUCGUAGACCCGAAACCAGGUGAUCUACCCUUGGUCAGGUUGAAGUUCAGGUAACACUGAAUGGAGGACCGAACCGACUUACGUUGAAAAGUGAGCGGAUGAACUGAGGGUAGCGGAGAAAUUCCAAUCGAACCUGGAGAUAGCUGGUUCUCUCCGAAAUAGCUUUAGGGCUAGCCUCAAGUGAUGAUUAUUGGAGGUAGAGCACUGUUUGGACGAGGGGCCCCUCUCGGGUUACCGAAUUCAGACAAACUCCGAAUGCCAAUUAAUUUAACUUGGGAGUCAGAACAUGGGUGAUAAGGUCCGUGUUCGAAAGGGAAACAGCCCAGACCACCAGCUAAGGUCCCAAAAUAUAUGUUAAGUGGAAAAGGAUGUGGCGUUGCCCAGACAACUAGGAUGUUGGCUUAGAAGCAGCCAUCAUUUAAAGAGUGCGUAAUAGCUCACUAGUCGAGUGACACUGCGCCGAAAAUGUACCGGGGCUAAACAUAUUACCGAAGCUGUGGAUUGUCCUUUGGACAAUGGUAGGAGAGCGUUCUAAGGGCGUUGAAGCAUGAUCGUAAGGACAUGUGGAGCGCUUAGAAGUGAGAAUGCCGGUGUGAGUAGCGAAAGACGGGUGAGAAUCCCGUCCACCGAUUGACUAAGGUUUCCAGAGGAAGGCUCGUCCGCUCUGGGUUAGUCGGGUCCUAAGCUGAGGCCGACAGGCGUAGGCGAUGGAUAACAGGUUGAUAUUCCUGUACCACCUAUAAUCGUUUUAAUCGAUGGGGGGACGCAGUAGGAUAGGCGAAGCGUGCGAUUGGAUUGCACGUCUAAGCAGUAAGGCUGAGUAUUAGGCAAAUCCGGUACUCGUUAAGGCUGAGCUGUGAUGGGGAGAAGACAUUGAGUCUUCGAGUCGUUGAUUUCACACUGCCGAGAAAAGCCUCUAGAUAGAAAAUAGGUGCCCGUACCGCAAACCGACACAGGUAGUCAAGAUGAGAAUUCUAAGGUGAGCGAGCGAACUCUCGUUAAGGAACUCGGCAAAAUGACCCCGUAACUUCGGGAGAAGGGGUGCUCUUUAGGGUUAACGCCCAGAAGAGCCGCAGUGAAUAGGCCCAAGCGACUGUUUAUCAAAAACACAGGUCUCUGCUAAACCGUAAGGUGAUGUAUAGGGGCUGACGCCUGCCCGGUGCUGGAAGGUUAAGAGGAGUGGUUAGCUUCUGCGAAGCUACGAAUCGAAGCCCCAGUAAACGGCGGCCGUAACUAUAACGGUCCUAAGGUAGCGAAAUUCCUUGUCGGGUAAGUUCCGACCCGCACGAAAGGCGUAACGAUUUGGGCACUGUCUCAACGAGAGACUCGGUGAAAUCAUAGUACCUGUGAAGAUGCAGGUUACCCGCGACAGGACGGAAAGACCCCGUGGAGCUUUACUGUAGCCUGAUAUUGAAAUUCGGCACAGCUUGUACAGGAUAGGUAGGAGCCUUUGAAACGUGAGCGCUAGCUUACGUGGAGGCGCUGGUGGGAUACUACCCUAGCUGUGUUGGCUUUCUAACCCGCACCACUUAUCGUGGUG